AUUUUCAAUGGACAUCCGCUUCUUGUAGAAGAACGCUCUAUGUGCAAAAACCAUUAGAUGAGACCCUUUUCAGAAUUAAUAUUUUAGUGUGAUAGGAAUCAGGGAAGAUUCUUAAGGAAUGGAUAGUUUGAAAAUGUUUAUUUUAAAGGUAUAUAAACAGACAUAAACAGAAUUUUGACCAUUAUUCUACUAUUAGUUUUGAGCUUCUUUUAUAAUUGCGCUUUCUGCGAAGUUACGACAGUACCAUUACCUGUACAAACCACCUGAUUCUUUUAGACAAUAUGUUAUUUUUAUUUAUUUCGUUUAAUAACAGAAAGGUUAGCUUUACAAUUGUCAAUAUUAUAACAUUUAUUUCUUGAAGACAACUUACCGAAACGAUAUACUUUUCAAGGGCGUUGGUAAUAACAGUCGCAUACUUGACGUCUUCCAAUUUUACUUUUAAAAUAACGAAUGCUGAAGAGGGCUUUGGGCCGAAAUAAAAGAAUUCCGGAAAAUAUUGCCUUUGGGCGGGAGAUGGUAACAAAAAAGCACUAUGAGACACUUCUGAAGAUAAACCGUGGAAUGGAAUAAAACCGGUGUAAGAUGAGGUCGGAAGGGAGAAACGCCGUACCACAAGAAGAAAAAGUUACAGAGUAUCAGCAAAAACGUCAAUUUUUCAAACGACGCGGGGUUUUUAGAGUGUUAAACGUUUUCGUUGUCAUCGAUUUUGGAACAGGAAAUUAUUUACUUCCGAACGAAAGAGUCCUUCUUGACGUGAUAUAUGGAGACGGUUUUCUCUGAUGGACGACACAUGUAAUUUAAUUGUAUCCUUCCUCAAUAACUUCUAGCACUUGACAAAUUACACCUACAUCUGCCAGACUGCAAAUUGCACAUGUAGCAAUCGCUCGAAGAUCUAGAGCCGAAUGAGUCCUGGACGCCAGGAUCACAAUUCGCCUAUAAAUCAUGCCAUUAUUAGGCUAUUAUUCUGAAGAGAUGGUUGAGAUAUUAUGGCAUUAUAAUGUGGCCCAUACUGCUCGGAAUCGGGUUUGUGCUUUCAUGGAAAUCAGCCAGCGGACUACUCGCAUUAAAAUUGCAAAAUCUCUAUAAAUAUUAAACGUAUCCCUUGUCCAA
Cimex lectularius (bed bug) is the source of this 1110-nucleotide long non-coding RNA. RefSeq lists it as uncharacterized. Lineage: Eukaryota; Metazoa; Arthropoda; Insecta; Hemiptera; Cimicidae. The record is from RefSeq and is a predicted model, not a curated record. The transcript has 2 exons.